This is a ribosomal RNA of Aotus nancymaae (Ma's night monkey), 126 nucleotides long. Lineage: Eukaryota; Metazoa; Chordata; Mammalia; Primates; Aotidae. The record is from Ensembl.
GUUUAUGGCGAUACCACCCUGAAUGCACCCGAUCUCGUCUGAUCUCAGAAGCUAAGCAGGGUUGGGCCUGGUUAGUACUUGGAUGGGAAUGGUUAUGUUUUGUUUGGAUUUGGUUUGUUUUAGCUA